UGGGGAAUCUUGGACAAUGGGCGCAAGCCUGAUCCAGCCAUGCCGCGUGAGUGAUGAAGGCCUUAGGGUCGUAAAGCUCUUUCGCCAGAGAUGAUAAUGACAGUAUCUGGUAAAGAAACCCCGGCUAACUCCGUGCCAGCAGCCGCGGUAAUACGGAGGGGGUUAGCGUUGUUCGGAAUUACUGGGCGUAAAGCGCACGUAGGCGGAUUGGAAAGUUGGGGGUGAAAUCCCGGGGCUCAACCCCGGAACUGCCUCCAAAACUAUCAAUCUAGAGUUCGAGAGAGGUGAGUGGAAUUCCGAGUGUAGAGGUGAAAUUCGUAGAUAUUCGGAGGAACACCAGUGGCGAAGGCGGCUCACUGGCUCGAUACUGACGCUGAGGUGCGAAAGUGUGGGGAGCAAACAGGAUUAGAUACCCUGGU
This 419-nucleotide ribosomal RNA is filed under the name uncultured Alphaproteobacteria bacterium. RNAcentral describes it as "bacterial SSU rRNA". It matches the Rfam family "Bacterial small subunit ribosomal RNA", at positions 355 to 791 of the family's 1533-position model. Lineage: Bacteria; Pseudomonadati; Pseudomonadota; Alphaproteobacteria. The record is from RNAcentral.